Regulatory RNA element from Streptomyces sp., 60 nucleotides. It matches the Rfam family "Actino-pnp RNA". The record is from Rfam. Lineage: Bacteria; Bacillati; Actinomycetota; Actinomycetes; Kitasatosporales; Streptomycetaceae.
GCCGGUCCUCGGUAGUGGCCCCCGGGCACCAACCCCCGGGUGCUUCGAUCGAAGACCGGC